GUCGAGCGGAAAGGCCCUUCGGGGUACUCGAGCGGCGAACGGGUGAGUAACACGUGAGCAACCUGCCCCAAGCUUUGGGAUAACCCUCGGAAACGGGGGCUAAUACCGAAUAGGACUUCCGGCCGCAUGGCUGGGGGUGGAAAGUUUUUCGGCUUGGGAUGGGCUCGCGGCCUAUCAGCUUGUUGGUGGGGUGAUGGCCUACCAAGGCGACGACGGGUAGCCGGCCUGAGAGGGCGACCGGCCACACUGGGACUGAGACACGGCCCAGACUCCUACGGGAGGCAGCAGUGGGGAAUAUUGCACAAUGGGCGGAAGCCUGAUGCAGCGACGCCGCGUGAGGGAUGACGGCCUUCGGGUUGUAAACCUCUUUCAGCAGGGACGAAGCGAGAGUGACGGUACCUGCAGAAGAAGCACCGGCCAACUACGUGCCAGCAGCCGCGGUAAGACGUAGGGUGCGAGCGUUGUCCGGAUUUAUUGGGCGUAAAGAGCUCGUAGGCGGCUUGUCGCGUCGACCGUGAAAACUUGGGGCUCAACCCCAAGCCUGCGGUCGAUACGGGCAGGCUAGAGUUCGGUAGGGGAGACUGGAAUUCCUGGUGUAGCGGUGAAAUGCGCAGAUAUCAGGAGGAACACCGGUGGCGAAAGGGGGUCUCUGGGCCGAUACUGACGCUGAGGAGCGAAAGCGUGGGAGCGAACAGGAUUAGAUACCCUGGUAGUCCACGCUGUAACGUUGGGCGCUAGUGUGGGGACCUCUCCGGUUUCCUGUGCCGCAGCUAACGCAUUAAGC
RNAcentral lists this ribosomal RNA (784 nucleotides) under Micromonospora sp. 15 GUW. RNAcentral describes it as "bacterial SSU rRNA". It matches the Rfam family "Bacterial small subunit ribosomal RNA", at positions 61 to 865 of the family's 1533-position model. The record is from RNAcentral. Lineage: Bacteria; Bacillati; Actinomycetota; Actinomycetes; Micromonosporales; Micromonosporaceae.